GCGAAGGUGGCGGAAUUAAGGUGGCGGAAUUGGUAGACGCGCUAGCUUCAGGUGUUAGUGUCCUUACGGAUGUGGGGGUUCGAGUCCCCCCCCUCGCACCA
This 101-nucleotide transfer RNA is filed under the name Enterobacter sp. RNAcentral describes it as "tRNA-Leu". It matches the Rfam family "tRNA". Rfam says of the family: Transfer RNA (tRNA) molecules are approximately 80 nucleotides in length. Their secondary structure includes four short double-helical elements and three loops (D, anti-codon, and T loops). The record is from RNAcentral. Lineage: Bacteria; Pseudomonadati; Pseudomonadota; Gammaproteobacteria; Enterobacterales; Enterobacteriaceae.